Molecule: ribosomal RNA, 325 nt
Filed under: Triticum aestivum (bread wheat)
Lineage: Eukaryota; Viridiplantae; Streptophyta; Magnoliopsida; Poales; Poaceae
Description: partial small subunit ribosomal RNA
Source: RNAcentral
UUUUACUUUCCUUUUAUUUAUUUGUUUAAGUGGCGGAAAAUUUCAAACCAGUCCAGAUUCGAUGGUGGAAAUUGCGAACAAAAAAAAUCCUCUCCUGGAGCUUUUUUCCCGCAAAAAAUUUGGGCAUUUUUGUGAUUACAUAUAACAUAAGGGGGUUUUCUGCAAAAAACAUGCCACGUCGGCACCUGACGGGCGGGCCCCAUCGGUCAGAUACACCGUCAAUACGUAUAAAUAUGCCUUUUAGCCUAAUUUGCAAAAACUUAGACCAAUGUUGGUACUGACACGCAAAAAUUAGCAAUCAUGGUACCAAUCUGCAUGUGAUGCC